RNAcentral lists this ribosomal RNA (253 nucleotides) under uncultured bacterium. RNAcentral describes it as "partial 16S ribosomal RNA". It matches the Rfam family "Bacterial small subunit ribosomal RNA", at positions 524 to 776 of the family's 1533-position model. The record is from RNAcentral.
UACGUAGGGUGCAGGCGUUAAUCGGAAUUACUGGGCGUAAAGCGUGCGCAGGCGGUCUUUUAAGUCAGAUGUGAAAUCCCCGGGCUUAACCUGGGAACUGCGUUUGAAACUGGAAGGCUUGAGUGUGGCAGAGGGGGGUGGAAUUCCACGUGUAGCAGUGAAAUGCGUAGAGAUGUGGAGGAACACCGAUGGCGAAGGCAGCCCCCCGGGCUAACACUGACGCUCAUGCACGAAAGCGUGGGUAGCAAACAGG